This 466-nucleotide ribosomal RNA is filed under the name uncultured ammonia-oxidizing beta proteobacterium. RNAcentral's name for it is "bacterial SSU rRNA". It matches the Rfam family "Bacterial small subunit ribosomal RNA", at positions 198 to 645 of the family's 1533-position model. Lineage: Bacteria; Pseudomonadati; Pseudomonadota; Betaproteobacteria. The record is from RNAcentral.
GGAGGAAAGUAGGGGAUCGUAAGACCUUGCGCUUUUGGAGUGGCCGAUGCCUGAUUAGCUAGUUGGUGGGGUAAGAGCCUACCAAGGCGACGAUCAGUAGUUGGUCUGAGAGGACGACCAGCCACACUGGGACUGAGACACGGCCCAGACUCCUACGGGAGGCAGCAGUGGGGAAUUUUGGACAAUGGGCGAAAGCCUGAUCCAGCAAUGCCGCGUGAGUGAAGAAGGCCUUCGGGUUGUAAAGCUCUUUCAGCCGAGAAGAAAAGGUCGCGACUAAUAAUCGCGACUCAUGACGGUAUCGACAGAAGAAGCACCGGCUAACUACGUGCCAGCAGCCGCGGUAAUACGUAGGGUGCGAGCGUUAAUCGGAAUUACUGGGCGUAAAGGGUGCGCAGGCGGCUUUGUAAGUCAGAUGUGAAAUCCCCGGGCUUAACCUGGGAAUUGCGUUUGAAACUACAAGGCUAGA